UUGUGGAGGAGGACGCCGAAAGUGGGGCUAAUGACUGGGGUGAAGUCGUAACAAGGUAGCCGUACCGGAAGGUGCGGCUGGAUCACCUCCUAACAGGGAGACAACAAAAUGUUUAAUAUUAUUAUUUUGUCACCUUAGGUCGAUCGGUAUCUCACGUUCUUAAUUUAUUAAGAAUUUCAUUUCCUAAGUUUUUCUAGGUCACACCCAUUAUUUUUCCUGGGCCAUUAGCUCAGGUGGUUAGAGCGCACCCCUGAUAAGGGUGAGGUCCCUGGUUCAAGUCCAGGAUGGCCCAUAUCUCUAUGUUGGGGGUAUAGCUCAGUUGGUAGAGCGCCUGCUUUGCAAGCAGGAUGUCAGCGGUUCGAGUCCGCUUACCUCCACUGAUUACCACCUCUACCAUAAUUUGUAGAAAGGAAUGUUUUGAGUUGUGAUCAAAUUCUGAACGAAUCUAGCUUCCUAAUGAAAUCAUUAAGAUGCUGGACUCAUUGAAUUAAUUUCAUUGUUUUCAGAGAACCUUGACAACUGCAUAGAUUAUUUUUAAAGACAAUAAGCAUCUUUAAUGAUGCAGAUUUAUUAUUUGUGCUAAUGCAUUAAUAACAAUUCUAUUAAGCUGAUGCUUCAAUUUUGAAGUUAUUGGUCAAGCUACAA
This 645-nucleotide unclassified non-coding RNA is filed under the name uncultured Prochlorococcus sp. Its description in RNAcentral is "partial 16S-23S ribosomal RNA intergenic spacer; may also contain 16S ribosomal RNA and 23S ribosomal RNA". The stretch from base 305 to 377 matches the Rfam family "tRNA". Lineage: Bacteria; Bacillati; Cyanobacteriota; Cyanophyceae; Synechococcales; Prochlorococcaceae. The record is from RNAcentral.